UUGACCUCGGAUCAGGUAGGACUACCCGCUGAACUUAAGCAUAUCAAUAAGCGGAGGAAAAGAAACCAACAGGGAUUGCCCCAGUAACGGCGAGUGAAGCGGCAACAGCUCAAAUUUGAAAUCUGGCCCUCGGGUCCGAGUUGUAAUUUGCAGAGGAUGCUCUUGGCGAGGCACCGUCCGAGUUCCCUGGAACGGGACGCCAUAGAGGGUGAGAGCCCCGUAUGGACGACUGCCGAGCCGCUGUAGAGCUCCUUCGACGAGUCGAGUAGUUUGGGAAUGCUGCUCUAAACGGGAGGUAAAUCUCUUCUAAAGCUAAAUACUGGCCACAGACCGAUAGCGCACAAGUAGAGUGAUCGAAAGAUGAAAAGCACUUUGAAAAGAGAGUUAAACAGCACGUGAAAUUGUUGAAAGGGAAGCGCUCAUGACCAGACUUGCGCCUGGCGGAUCAUCCGGCGUUCUCGCCGGUGCACUCCGCCAGGCACAGGCCAGCAUCGGUUCGCUGUUGGGGAGAAAGGCGGAGGGAAUGUGGCUCCUCGGAGUGUUAUAGCCCCCCGCGCAAUACCCUUCGGCGGACCGAGGUUCGCGCAUCUGCAAGGAUGCUGG
This 603-nucleotide ribosomal RNA is filed under the name Graphium brachiatum. RNAcentral's name for it is "partial 28S ribosomal RNA". It matches the Rfam family "Eukaryotic large subunit ribosomal RNA", at positions 1 to 629 of the family's 3401-position model. The record is from RNAcentral. Lineage: Eukaryota; Fungi; Ascomycota; Sordariomycetes; Microascales; Graphiaceae.